This 497-nucleotide long non-coding RNA is filed under the name Glycine max (soybean). Its description in RNAcentral is "long non-coding RNA (GMAX_LNC004124)". The record is from RNAcentral. Lineage: Eukaryota; Viridiplantae; Streptophyta; Magnoliopsida; Fabales; Fabaceae.
GCUCUGAUACCACCCAUUGUAGCGUCCCUAAAUAAUGACUGGUUUAAUAGUAAUAAAUCAAAUCGCAGAAACCAUGGGAAAUUUUUUUUUUCUUUUCUCUCUCUCUUUUUUUUCGCACUGUUAUUCAUUUCCCGGUAAUUAAAUUCAAAAGGAAAAUUAUCACUAUAGAGUCUUGAAUGGCCAGUUCACAACUCUAUUCGGAUUCAUUUCUUUUUGAACUCAUAACCUCCAAACUAUUUUUCUCUUUCAAAAAUAUACCAGCCAUCAUUUUAGGUCGUCACGUGAAAAAUAAUAAGGUGCGGUCGGUAAACUCUUUUCAAUUAAAAUUCGUUAACAUUUCCUUUUCAAAUAACAAGAUAAAACAUAAUUGUUUUUAUCAUCUAAAACUGUCCAAAAUAUGGGAGUUUGCAAAAUAACAUAGUGACAUCCAGAGCAAAGGUAACAACUGUGGUGACUUCAGCCACAAUAUAUACAAUCAUCAAAAAUUCUAUACAAUA